This 1147-nucleotide long non-coding RNA is filed under the name Mytilus galloprovincialis (Mediterranean mussel). The record is from RNAcentral. Lineage: Eukaryota; Metazoa; Mollusca; Bivalvia; Mytilida; Mytilidae.
AACUAUACAAUACAUACAGACAUCAUAUCUUUGUAAUAAUUGUUCUAUUGUAUCUAUCACAACUUCAUUUAUAAUGUCUUCAUCUAACACCCCAGUCAUGGCCUUGUAACAUCCUAGUCUGGCAUUUGUGACAUCAUAGUCGUACACAAUCAACUUUAUAAUACAUACAGACAUCAUAUCUUUGUAAUAAUUGUUCUAUUGUAUCUAUCACACCUACAUAUAUAAGGUCUACAUCUAACACAUCAUAUCUUUGUAAUAAUUGUUCUAUUGUAUCUAUCACACCUUCAUUUAUAAUGUCUUUAUCUAACACCCUAGUCAUGCCCUUGUAACACCCUAGUCUGGCAUUUGUGACAUCCUAGUCAUACACAAUCAACUUUAUAAUACAUACAGACAACAUAUCUUUGUAAUAAUUGUUCUACUGUAUCUAUCACACCUACAUGUAUAAUGUCCUUUCUAACAUCCAUGGCAUGCCCUUGUAACACCCUAGUCAGGCAUUUAUGACAUUCUAGUAAUACACAAUCAACUAUAUAAUACAUACAGACAACAUAUCUUUGUAAUAAUUGUUCUACUGUAUCUAUCACACCACAUGUAUAAGGUCUACAUCUAACACCCCAGUCAUGCCCUCAUAGCACCCUAGUCAGGCAUUUGGGACAUCCUAGUCAUACACAAUCAACUAUGCAAUACAUACAGACAUCAUAUCUUUUUAAUAAUUGUUCUAUUGUAUCUAUCACACAUUCAUUUAUAAUGUCUUCAUCUAACACCCCAGUCAUGCCCUUGUAACAUCCUAGUCUGGCAUUUGUGACAUCCUAGUCAUACACAAUCAACUAUAUAAUAAAUACAGACAUCAUGUCUUUGUAAUAAUUGUUCUAUUGUAUCUAUCACACCUACAUAUAUAAGGUCUACAUCUAACACCCCAGUCAUGCCCUCAUAACACCCUAGUCAGGCAUUUGUGACAUCCUAGUCAUACACCAUCAACUAUAUAAUACAUACAGAGACAUCAUAUCUUUGUAAUAAUUGUUCUAUUGUAUCUAUCACACCUUCAUUAAUAAUGUCUUCUUCUAACACCUCAGUCAUGCCCUUGUAACACCCUAGUCAGGCAUUUGUGACAUCCAAGUCAUACACAAUCAUCUAUAUAAUACAUACAGAC